This 308-nucleotide ribosomal RNA is filed under the name uncultured bacterium. RNAcentral's name for it is "partial 16S ribosomal RNA". It matches the Rfam family "Bacterial small subunit ribosomal RNA", at positions 505 to 809 of the family's 1533-position model. The record is from RNAcentral.
GAGACAGCAGCAGCCACGGGAAUACAGAGGGUGCGAGCGUUAAUCGGAUUUACUGGGCGUAAAGCGUGCGUAGGCGGCUUCUUAAGUCGGAUGUGAAAUCCCUGAGCUUAACUUAGGAAUUGCAUUCGAUACUGGGAAGCUAGAGUAUGGGAGAGGAUGGUAGAAUUCCAGGUGUAGCGGUGAAAUGCGUAGAGAUCUGGAGGAAUACCGAUGGCGAAGGCAGCCAUCUGGCCUAAUACUGACGCUGAGGUACGAAAGCAUGGGGAGCAAACAGGAUUAGAUACCCGCGUAGUCCCUGUCUCUUAUAA